UACCUACCGUGAGGUGAGGAAUACCACCGAGAAAUCGGUGACAAGACCGCAUACGCUCUUUCUUGCAAGAGAGAGAGCAAAGCCCUUUUCGGAGGGGCGCCACACGAUGGGCCUGCGCCUGAUUAGCUAGUUGGUGGGGUAAGAGCCUACCAAGGCCACGAUCAGUAGCUGGUCUGAGAGGACGAUCAGCCACACUGGGAUUGAGAACGGCCCAG
Molecule: ribosomal RNA, 215 nt
Filed under: uncultured bacterium
Lineage: Bacteria
Description: partial 16S ribosomal RNA
Rfam family: Bacterial small subunit ribosomal RNA
Source: RNAcentral